This 4192-nucleotide ribosomal RNA is filed under the name Triticum aestivum (bread wheat). Its description in RNAcentral is "partial small subunit ribosomal RNA". Lineage: Eukaryota; Viridiplantae; Streptophyta; Magnoliopsida; Poales; Poaceae. The record is from RNAcentral.
GGUUUUUUGGUUUUCGUCUGGUCUUUUUAUUUAUGAGGGAUGAGGUUUCUCUCUCUCUCUCUGACCAAAACCUCUCUCUUUCGCUUCACCCCUCUCUCUCUCUCUAUUCUUUUCCGUUUGGGCAGGCAGCCGAUCUCGGUUCCCCUCUUCUUCCUUCGUCGUCGUCCGCCGCCGCCGCCGCCGGUUUGGGAUCAGAUGCACGACGCGGCGACUCCCUCCUCUAUGCGCACGUGGUGGCCAGCCGCGGUCCUCGACGUCUAGGCGCCGGCCCGGCGGCCUUAGCCCCCUCUAGGGCGGCCCUACCCAGGCGAACCUGACACUGGAGCGAGGGCGGCGGGCAAAGCAGAGGGCCCCAAAAGCAGGACGAUCCCAAGACUCGAUGAGCAACCCACAAACCACGCCAAAAAAGCCCCCCGCCAACCCCGGGACGCGACCAAAGAUGCCUCUAAACCCUCCCCUAGACGGCGGUUCCGCCCUCAGGAGGGAGCAGCACUCGCGACCUCUGCGUCCCGCCCUAGCCCCCUCGGUACAGCAGCGAGUCGUCCCUCGACCAGAAGGAGUAGGACGUCAAGGAGCUGCUCCUUUUCAAGUUCCUCUGCCACGUGUUCAACCUCGUCCUUAGCCCGAAGAUGAAGUUGUACUUCGUGAAGCUCCUGGACCAGGUCCCACCCCUCACCCUGCUCCACCUCUCCAUGGAGUCGCCGAAGUGGUUCCACCUUCUGUUGGCGAUGAGGUACUUCUAUAAGAAACUCUAGGCGUUCGUCUUCAUGGAACUUCGGGAGCUGUCCGUACUAGCCCGGUUCCGUCACCUCUAUGAGCAGUUCCUAAACUUCCACAAACGGAGGAAAUUGCUCCUCGACAAGUUCCUCUAUUGCGUCGACGACUGAGACCUAUUAAAAUCCGUUUUACUCGUCGACAGGUUUAUGCCCCUAUGUUUCAGUCGGGCCUUAUAGUACGAGUACCUCGAAUUCUUCGAAUAGCUCCGUUUGGGAGACAAGGCUCUGUUCGAAUUAAAGGGUGGUAAAUUUCGGAGUUCUGACGCGUGCAACUAAUUAGUUUCAGAAUUGACCGUUGUAGUCGAGACGUUCUUAGGAUCUGGUUUGGGACUGUAUUUCUGUGAGAAGUGCCUAGUGAGGACACGACGAGGAUGGUUACCUCGUUCUCGAGGAGGGGGACGGUUACCAGGAGAACAACCUGGUUAGGGGUUUUGUCGACCUAAGGGAGGUUACCCACGAGUACGAGGCAAAGUUGGGCACCAAAGUGGUAGAGGUUUACGUUAACGACCAACCUACUGUUUAGGGUUAGGGAGGAAUGGUGUAGGACGAUAACGUGUUCCCGGCGGGCCAGAACAAGUCGGUGGUUUGUGUCGCCGUAAAGACUUCGUAGGUUCCUGAGGAUGUUCACGCGGACCGUAACUGAUAGUCAGACGUCUAAGACUUGUAGACUACUUUUCUUACGCACAUCCGGUCGGUCUACUCCACAGUAAGAGACCACGUUCGGUAGGAGGGUUACAAAUGUCAGUUCUUCUGGAGGGGUUUGUUCAGCAAGCGUGUGAGUUAGUCCCAAGAUUACAAUACUCGGACCUAAAGGUAGGACAAGUUGUUUGAUAAGAAGAUCAACCUUGUUUACAACCACUGUAGCCCUAUACCCUUCAACCAAGUGCGCUUUCCUAUCGUGUGUUCUGUAAAUUUCAAACCCUGUAACCGAGGACGUGGAACGGUAACGUCCGACGUGAUUACUUUCUACGACGUUAUACACAGUUAUCCACAGACACCUCGGGACUACCUUUAUAAAAUCCACACCGUAAAAGUUUCGUAUAACAAGUCUGAAUAUGCAAACAAGGAUUACCUCUCAAUUCUGUCGUUCGUCUCUAACUACGAGUGUAACCGCCCCAGUUACUGUAACGUAAGAGAGUGGGGUUGUUCAGGGAUAGUUAAUAAUGUACACCGCUACUGUUUGAGUAAUUCCAUACCCUACGAGUCAGACCUGUUUUCGUUAUGUGUAAACUUCCGGUACUCCGAAGUCACAUGAGACAAACGGGAGUGAUGUUCCUCUUGUAAGUCAAAUAGAAAAGAUGGCGGUAGCUACCUUUUUAGUUCCGUACCAAUAUGCUGACAAACCCGAGUGCCCAACUGAUGCUACGAGGACCUGUAACCACAUGAUGGUACAGAAUAUCACGACUACCAUGUUCCGAGAAGAGAACACCUUGAUCAUUUCUGCCACUAAGGGUGAACCAGCUCACCUUACUCUGACUUCCUCGAUAAUUCUCCUGUAUAUUACCGAAGUCCUUUGCCAGUGACCCACAACAGGUCAAACUGUGUUGCUCUUUGGUAAAAAACCGACGACCUCUACUUAAGCAACAAUUUAAGACCCUAUACCUAUUGUGGUUGUAUGACUGUUGUUGUCUAACACUCCCACCUGACGGACGUUCGGGCGCGGACUCUAAAUUAUCUCUUCCCAGUAACGAACGACAAUGUCGUUUACUAUUACCUUAUUUUUAUAAUCGCUUGUGGCUACCCGUCGCAAACGACUCCUACGAUCUCUCGUCCCGAAAACUUCCGAGAGCACCUGGGGGAGUUGUUUAAUUAUGGUUCGGAGGUGACGAGUGGUUGGAACCAAGACGAAGUUUACAUAGAUCAGGAUAUCGUCACUUGCGUCUCGCUGGACUAUCCUACAACGGACGUCAUAGUUACUCACCUGACCGUAGAUACCUACAAUCGUCUUGCGGCCUACAAUUUGGUUCUUAUUGACUCCUUAGACUUUUCGACUUCUGGACCUUCAACCGGCUGUAACAACUAAGUCCUGUAGAAGCCCGUGCCGCAACAGGUCUAUGUCGUCGUAGAGGUUGUUUUCAACGGGCAAACAACAUAUGUUUAUCACCCCAACGUGAAAACAGAGAGCCAAGGUUACGACAAGUAUUCGACACCUUUACCGUUGCGUCACUGUCCUUAGGAUUACCGUUCAGAUGACGUAGAUAAAGCGGAGUGGACACCGUUGGUCGUUUACCCUAAGAUUACUGUUUACUGUGUUCACUACCGUUGGGUCUUCUUCGUUGACGGACGUAACGCAACAGAUUUUUACUGAGGAUACAAUACAGACGUAGACCACCGUUUCAGAGAAACAAGUUAUACUACUGCAAGUUCCAGUACUGAUGAAAGUACCGUGGAGGUGGACGACGCUGAAAGGAGCGUAAGGUGGGUGUCCUGUUAUUAUAAUAACGAUAUCCUUACCUCCUGAGCUGGUAAGUUUAGAUGUUACAGGCACAACUACUCCAAUUUUCGUUCGAGUUCCCAGUAGUCUUUUUCUAAUGGCCUGACCGUAAAAGAGUUAGUUACUUACAAGAACAUAGAAGUCCACGACUACGAGUCACCAUGGGUUCUCUACGUGACGGUCGCGGUCAAAGCUCACGUUAUAUGAGCACACUACCAGAGGACCAAAUGCGACCAAAGACACUACCACGAUAACCUCACAAACUUCGGCUCAGGGAAUCCAACGCAACGUCCUAACGUGAAAGGCGGAUACACGGAGGAAGUUAUAGAUCGCCCCGUUCACACAUGGGGUACCAACAUCGCCGCGUAGGGAACCUCGGAUUGGUUUAACGUCAACCUUACUCACUACCCCGUCAAGUACACCAACUCGGCGACCUGCGACUGGGUUUCACCCCUCAGCGCGGGGGGGUCCUAUUGCCUCGGGUAGGCAGGUACAGUAGUCGAGGUCGUCGUAGAUUGUUGGUCUGCAGACUAGUCGGUUGCUCUACUGAGUCCGGUGAUUUGUUACCAUCCUGAGAUCCUCUAUCCCUCUUUCUUUUGUCAAUCUAAGUACUCUGUUCCACUCCACUAUACAUAGUUCAGGUGUGGUAGCGGAACGGUGUCUACCACUAACUACUACCGUACAGAAUCUAAUCAAAAACCAAGGACCAACAAAAAAACGGGGGUUUUAGAAUUGAAGGAGUGGACCACGGCAGAAGGAAACAUUUCGAAAAGGACGAGGGUCGAUCACCACCAAUGAAUCUUCGUCAAUAAACAAAAAUAAAUAAAUACGAGGAAAUAAACACCCCCAUCAAUGAAACAUCACAUUUUAUACGAACAGCACAACCUACUACUACUAUAAACGAAGCGAGCAACGGCGGCUAAGCUAACCGGUAAACCGAAUAAACUAACUACCCUCCUAAACAUCACAUUUCCAAAACUUC